Molecule: ribosomal RNA, 460 nt
Filed under: uncultured bacterium
Lineage: Bacteria
Description: partial 16S ribosomal RNA
Rfam family: Bacterial small subunit ribosomal RNA
Source: RNAcentral
CCUACGGGAGGCAGCAGUGAGGAAUAUUGGUCAAUGGACGAGAGUCUGAACCAGCCAAGUAGCGUGAAGGAUGACUGCCCUAUGGGUUGUAAACUUCUUUUAUAUGGGAAUAAAAUGUUCCACGUGUGGGAUUUUGUAUGUACCAUAUGAAUAAGGAUCGGCUAACUCCGUGCCAGCAGCCGCGGUAAUACGGAGGAUCCGAGCGUUAUCCGGAUUUAUUGGGUUUAAAGGGAGCGUAGGUGGAUUGUUAAGUCAGUUGUGAAAGUUUGCGGCUCAACCGUAAAAUUGCAGUUGAAACUGGCAGUCUUGAGUACAGUAGAGGUGGGCGGAAUUCGUGGUGUAGCGGUGAAAUGCUUAGAUAUCACGAAGAACUCCGAUUGCGAAGGCAGUUCACUGGACUGCAACUGACACCGAGGCUCGAAAGUGUGGGUAUCAAACAGGAUUAGAUACCCGAGUAGUC